GCCUGGGGUAGCUCAGUUGGGAGAGCACGUGACUCUUAAUCUCAGGGUCAAGCGUCUGAGCCCCACACUGGGCA
This is a non-coding RNA of Podarcis lilfordi (Lilford's wall lizard), 74 nucleotides long. Lineage: Eukaryota; Metazoa; Chordata; Lepidosauria; Squamata; Lacertidae. The record is from the annotation of a GenBank genome assembly.